RNAcentral lists this ribosomal RNA (69 nucleotides) under Blautia luti DSM 14534 = JCM 17040. RNAcentral's name for it is "partial 23S ribosomal RNA". The record is from RNAcentral. Lineage: Bacteria; Bacillati; Bacillota; Clostridia; Lachnospirales; Lachnospiraceae.
AUAGGGCAGAGGUGGAAGUGCAGUAAUGCAUGGAGCUGACUGUUACUAAUCGGGUGAGGGCUUGACCAA